CCUCCCCGUCUAACACCAGAACCUCCCAGUGACAGUGCAGAGUUCUGGCUCAAGGGGAUAUAUUAUUGUGCAUGUUUCCCUCCCUGCUGGAUUCUGUUCCUCACAGGGCCAGAAUUGUUGCACACAUC
Molecule: small nucleolar RNA, 128 nt
Organism: Syngnathus acus (greater pipefish)
Lineage: Eukaryota; Metazoa; Chordata; Actinopteri; Syngnathiformes; Syngnathidae
Product: small nucleolar RNA SNORA49
Exons: 1
Source: RefSeq, a predicted model, not a curated record